UACGGAGGGGGCUAGCGUUGUUCGGAAUUACUGGGCGUAAAGCGCGCGUAGGCGGCUUUGUAAGUUAGAGGUGAAAGCCCGAAGCUCAGCUUCGGAAUUGCCUUUAAGACUGCAUCGCUUGAAUCCAGGAGAGGUGAGUGGAAUUCCGAGUGUAGAGGUGAAAUUCGUAGAUAUUCGCAAGAACACCAGUGGCGAAGGCGGCUCACUGGCCCGAUACUGACGCUGAGGCACGAAAGCGUGGGGAGCAAACAGG
Molecule: ribosomal RNA, 253 nt
Filed under: uncultured bacterium
Lineage: Bacteria
Description: partial 16S ribosomal RNA
Rfam family: Bacterial small subunit ribosomal RNA
Source: RNAcentral